Molecule: ribosomal RNA, 1026 nt
Filed under: uncultured bacterium
Lineage: Bacteria
Description: bacterial SSU rRNA
Rfam family: Bacterial small subunit ribosomal RNA
Source: RNAcentral
AGGGAAUCUUCGGCAAUGGGGGCAACCCUGACCGAGCAACGCCGCGUGAGUGAAGAAGGUUUUCGGAUCGUAAAGCUCUGUUGUAAGUCAAGAACGAGUGUGAGAGUGGAAAGUUCACACUGUGACGGUAGCUUACCAGAAAGGGACGGCUAACUACGUGCCAGCAGCCGCGGUAAUACGUAGGUCCCGAGCGUUGUCCGGAUUUAUUGGGCGUAAAGCGAGCGCAGGCGGUUUGAUAAGUCUGAAGUUAAAGGCUGUGGCUCAACCAUAGUUCGCUUUGGAAACUGUCAAACUUGAGUGCAGAAGGGGAGAGUGGAAUUCCAUGUGUAGCGGUGAAAUGCGUAGAUAUAUGGAGGAACACCGGUGGCGAAAGCGGCUCUCUGGUCUGUAACUGACGCUGAGGCUCGAAAGCGUGGGGAGCGAACAGGAUUAGAUACCCUGGUAGUCCACGCCGUAAACGAUGAGUGCUAGGUGUUGGAUCCUUUCCGGGAUUCAGUGCCGCAGCUAUCGCAUUAAGCACUCCGCCUGGGGAGUACGACCGCAAGGUUGAAACUCAAAGGAAUUGACGGGGGCCCGCACAAGCGGUGGAGCAUGUGGUUUAAUUCGAAGCAACGCGAAGAACCUUACCAGGUCUUGACAUCCCGAUGCUAUUUCUAGAGAUAGAAAGUUACUUCGAUACAUCGGUGACAGGUGGUGCAUGGUUGUCGUCAGCUCGUGUCGUGAGAUGUUGGGUUAAGUCCCGCAACGAGCGCAACCCCUAUUGUUAGUUGCCAUCAUUCAGUUGGGCACUCUAGCGAGACUGCCGGUAAUAAACCGGAGGAAGGUGGGGAUGACGUCAAAUCAUCAUGCCCCUUAUGACCUGGGCUACACACGUGCUACAAUGGUUGGUACAACGAGUUGCGAGUCGGUGACGGCAAGCUAAUCUCUUAAAGCCAAUCUCAGUUCGGAUUGUAGGCUGCAACUCGCCUACAUGAAGUCGGAAUCGCUAGUAAUCGCGGAUCAGCACGCCGCGGUGAAUACGUUCCC